GAUGAACGCUGGCGGCGUGCCUAAUACAUGCAAGUCGAGCGAACAGACGAGGAGCUUGCUCCUCUGACGUUAGCGGCGGACGGGUGAGUAACACGUGGAUAACCUACCUAUAAGACUGGGAUAACUUCGGGAAACCGGAGCUAAUACCGGAUAAUAUAUUGAACCGCAUGGUUCAAUAGUGAAAGACGGUUUUGCUGUCACUUAUAGAUGGAUCCGCGCCGCAUUAGCUAGUUGGUAAGGUAACGGCUUACCAAGGCAACGAUGCGUAGCCGACCUGAGAGGGUGGUCGGCGACAGGGGACGGGGACCCGGGUCCGGACGCCGGCGGGAGGAAGAAGAGGGGAAUCUGCGGAAGGGGGGGAAAGCCGGACGGAGCAGCCCGGGGGGGGUGAUAAAGGUCUUGGGAGCGAAAACCUGUUUUAUGGGGGAAAAAAAGAGGUUGACGAACAACGACAGGUCUGGAGGGUCCUUAAUAAAAAAGCCCCGGCAAACUACGUG
RNAcentral lists this ribosomal RNA (497 nucleotides) under uncultured bacterium. RNAcentral describes it as "partial 16S ribosomal RNA". It matches the Rfam family "Bacterial small subunit ribosomal RNA", at positions 28 to 507 of the family's 1533-position model. The record is from RNAcentral.